RNAcentral lists this ribosomal RNA (647 nucleotides) under uncultured bacterium. RNAcentral's name for it is "bacterial SSU rRNA". It matches the Rfam family "Bacterial small subunit ribosomal RNA", at positions 183 to 828 of the family's 1533-position model. The record is from RNAcentral.
CCGGGGCAUCCCGGAGGCAGGAAAGGCUUCGGCCGGACAGGGAUGGGCAUGCGGCGCAUUAGGCAGUAGGCGGGGUAACGGCCCACCUAACCGACGAUGCGUAGGGGUUCUGAGAGGAAGGUCCCCCACACUGGUACUGAGGCACGGACCAGACUCCUACGGGAGGCAGCAGUGAGGAAUAUUGGUCAAUGGUCGGGAGACUGAACCAGCCAAGCCGCGUGAGGGAUGAAGGUACAGAGUAUCGUAAACCUCUUUUGUCAGGGAACAAAGGCGGGGACGUGUCCCCGGAUGAGUGUACCUGAAGAAAAAGCAUCGGCUAACUCCGUGCCAGCAGCCGCGGUAAUACGGAGGAUGCGAGCGUUAUCCGGAUUUAUUGGGUUUAAAGGGUGCGCAGGCGGUCUGUUAAGUCAGCGGUCAAAGCCCGGGGCUCAACCCCGGUCCGCCGUUGAAACUGGCAGUCUCGAGUUGGAGAGAAGUAUGCGGAAUGCGCGGUGUAGCGGUGAAAUGCAUAGAUAUCGCGCAGAACUCCGAUUGCGAAGGCAGCAUGCCGGCUCCACACUGACGCUGAGGCACGAAAGCGUGGGUAUCGAACAGGAUUAGAUACCCUGGUAGUCCACGCAGUAAACGAUGAAUGCAGGCUGUCCGGG